This 775-nucleotide ribosomal RNA is filed under the name uncultured Pelagibacteraceae bacterium. RNAcentral describes it as "bacterial SSU rRNA". It matches the Rfam family "Bacterial small subunit ribosomal RNA", at positions 51 to 874 of the family's 1533-position model. Lineage: Bacteria; Pseudomonadati; Pseudomonadota; Alphaproteobacteria; Candidatus Pelagibacterales; Candidatus Pelagibacteraceae. The record is from RNAcentral.
ACACAUGCAAGUCGAACGCAGUAGCAAUACUGAGUGGCAAACGGGUGAGUAUAAUGUGGGAAUCUGCCUUUUGGUUUGGAAUAACACGGGGAAACUUGUGCUAAUACCGAAUAAGCCUUUACAGGGAAAGUUUUAACGCCGAAAGAUGAGCCCGCACUUGAUUAGCUAGUUGGUAAGGUAAAAGCUUACCAAGGCAACGAUCAAUAGCUGUUCUUAGAGGAAGACCAGCCACAUUGGGACUGAGACACGGCCCAGACUCCUACGGGAGGCAGCAGUGGGGAAUCUUGCACAAUGGGGGAAACCCUGAUGCAGCGAUGCCGCGUGAGUGAAGAAGGCCCUUGGGUUGUAAAACUCUUUCGUCGGGGAAGAAAAUGACUGUACCCGAAUAAGAAGGUCCGGCUAACUUCGUGCCAGCAGCCGCGGUAAUACGAAGGGACCUAGCGUAGUUCGGAAUUACUGGGCUUAAAGAGCUCGUAGGUGGUUAAAAAAGUUGAUGGUGAAAUCCCAAGGCUCAACCUUGGAACUGCCAUCAAAACUUUUUAGCUAGAGUGUGAUAGAGGUAAGUGGAAUUUCUAGUGUAGAGGUGAAAUUCGUAGAUAUUAGAAAGAACACCAAAAGCGAAGGCAACUUACUGGGUCACUACUGACACUGAGGAGCGAAAGCAUGGGUAGCGAAGAGGAUUAGAUACCCUCGUAGUCCAUGCCGUAAACGAUGAGUGCUAGACGUUGGAAAUAUAUUUUUCAGUGUCGCAGCGAAAGCAUUAAGCACUCCGCCU